UAGUCCACGCCGUAAACGAUGUCAACUAGCUGUCCGAACCCACAGGGUUUGGGUGGCGCAGCUAACGCAUUAAGUUAUCCGCCUGGGGAGUACGGUCGCAAGAUUAAAACUCAAAGGAAUUGACGGGGCCUGCACAAGCGGUGGAGCAUGUGGUUUAAUUCGACGCAACGCGCAGAACCUUACCAGCUUUUGACAUCCUGGUCGCGGAUUUGGGAGACCAUUUCCUUCAGUUCGGCUGGACCAGUGACAGGUGCUGCAUGGCUGUCGUCAGCUCGUGUUGUGAAAUGUUGGGUUAAGUCUCGCAACGAGCGCAACCCUUGUCCUUAGUUGCCAGCAUUAAGUUGGGCACUCUAGGGAGACUGCCUGGGUUAACCAGGGAGGAAGGUGGGGAUGGACGUCAAGUCCUCAUGGCCCUUAUGUCCAGGGGCUACACACGUGAUACAAUGGU
This 448-nucleotide ribosomal RNA is filed under the name uncultured bacterium. Its description in RNAcentral is "bacterial SSU rRNA". It matches the Rfam family "Bacterial small subunit ribosomal RNA", at positions 791 to 1234 of the family's 1533-position model. The record is from RNAcentral.